Molecule: long non-coding RNA, 499 nt
Organism: Lolium rigidum
Lineage: Eukaryota; Viridiplantae; Streptophyta; Magnoliopsida; Poales; Poaceae
Exons: 3
Source: RefSeq, a predicted model, not a curated record
ACAAGUCGUUAAUGAGCCUUUCGCCCUCUCUGCAGUUGUGUGUCUCCGUUGAAACUGCUAAGUUCCACUGGCGCAGAGCAGAAUUUUGAAUACACCAGUGUUCUGCAUACGCAUCUGUUCUAAUUGAUUCAGUUGAAGAAAGGAGCAAAAGGUUCUAUCAGUCCACGUUGUAUUAUCCCUGGAGGGUUAUUCUCUCCUUUACAACUUCUCCACAUGGAGGCAUACCUCCAAAACAACACACACUUCGAAACAAGUCGCGAACUGCGGAUGCUGCACUGCGAAGUUUGAGCACGAGAUCGACUGUUUAUGGUGUUGAAACAGGAAGAUUGAGCUGGCUGAACCAGAGCAGAACCUACCCCUGGGCUGAUAUACGAACCGAACUGAGUGGGUCUUUGGUAUUGCUAGAUUUGAGAGAGAAUAUUAGCUGCGGAUCUGUUUCUGCAUAACUUAUUUUAAUCACUGAUGCAUCUGCUGUUAUGGCUGCAUGUAUGUGGGCAAG